UACUCCUACGGGAGGCAGCAGUGGGGAAUAUUGGGCAAUGGGGGAAACCCUGACCCAGCAACGCCGCGUGAGGGAAGAAGGUUUUCGGAUUGUAAACCUCUGUCCUUGGUGAAGAGCAGAAGACGGUAGCCAAGGAGGAAGCCCCGGCUAACUACGUGCCAGCAGCCGCGGUA
RNAcentral lists this ribosomal RNA (173 nucleotides) under uncultured bacterium. Its description in RNAcentral is "partial 16S ribosomal RNA". It matches the Rfam family "Bacterial small subunit ribosomal RNA", at positions 334 to 522 of the family's 1533-position model. The record is from RNAcentral.